AUGAUCAAAUCCUGGUCUGUUUUCUCCCCAGAACAUAGAGGUGAGGCUGGAGGCCUUUGCAGGGCACCUGACAUGCUUCAUCUGGCGUCCCCUGAGGAUUUCAUGUGGCUGACUGCUCGCCCAGACCACCGAAACAAGCUCAAGAUCUCCGAUGCCGGCACCUUCCCCGCGUCUCCUGCCAAGAAGAGGGACACCGAGGUUGUUUCCAUGCUGUCAAGCCCCAUCUCUACACUCUCGGCAUGCUGGUCAGUGGUCGCCACAAGCGACUACGGCUCCUCCAAUGAAGACCAGGAAGGCUGCCUUGAGGCUCACCUGUGGAUAGCUUGUUAG
RNAcentral lists this ribosomal RNA (330 nucleotides) under Triticum aestivum (bread wheat). Its description in RNAcentral is "partial small subunit ribosomal RNA". Lineage: Eukaryota; Viridiplantae; Streptophyta; Magnoliopsida; Poales; Poaceae. The record is from RNAcentral.